AGGUCACUGCAGCCAUUUUAUUACACACCCUAUUACACAGGUCUGAAGGUCACUGCAGCCAUUUUAUUACACACCCUAUUACACAGGUCUGAAGGUCACUGCAGCCAUUUUAUUACACAGGUCUGAAGGUCACUGCAGCCAUUUUGCUCCUCCCCUACCUCUUCAAAGAAGAUCCAAGUGGGCUGUAUGUCACAGGUGACGGGAAUACCUUUACGGAUGAGAGCCACAUUCAACUCUUCCUGGAUGGGGAGGAGCUACUCACUGAAGAGCUGGAGGACAUCUCUAUGGGAUUGGGAGUGGCAAUGGGGGGGUCCAUUUCCUUUUUAAUAUUGAGUAUGGAGCAUCAUUAAAAAGCACUACGCUGUUCAUUCAGAAAUGUGUUCUGGGAAUUGAUGAGGGAGAUAAAUUACCAACAAAUGUACGAAUGGCAAACUUUUUGCUGUAGAGGGAUAAGGGAGACCAGAGAUUUCUGUGGCAUCUGCAAGUGAGAUUUCUGGGACUUUUAAAGUCAAUAAAAUGAAUUUGUGACU
Non-coding RNA from Oncorhynchus mykiss (rainbow trout), 530 nucleotides. Lineage: Eukaryota; Metazoa; Chordata; Actinopteri; Salmoniformes; Salmonidae. The record is from RefSeq and is a predicted model, not a curated record.